UACGUAGGGUGCAAGCGUUAAUCGGAAUUACUGGGCGUAAAGCGUGCGCAGGCGGUUAUGCAAGACAGAUGUGAAAUCCCCGAGCUUAACUUGGGAAUUGCGCUCGAAACUACGAUGCUCGAGUGUGGCAGAGGAAGGUGGAAUUCCACGUGUAGCGGUGAAAUGCGUAGAGAUGUGGAGGAACACCGAUGGCGAAGGCAGCCUUCUGGGCCAACACUGACGCUCAUGCACGAAAGCGUGGGGAGCAAACAGG
RNAcentral lists this ribosomal RNA (253 nucleotides) under uncultured bacterium. RNAcentral's name for it is "partial 16S ribosomal RNA". It matches the Rfam family "Bacterial small subunit ribosomal RNA", at positions 524 to 776 of the family's 1533-position model. The record is from RNAcentral.